CCAAUAGCGUAUAUUAAAGUUGUUGCAGUUAAAAAGCUCGUAGUUGAACUUCGGGGUCUACCCAUUGGUCAGGCUUCAUUGUCUGCACUGGUGAGAUGGAUCUCUACCUUCUGAGGAACUUUCAUGCCAUUUAUUUGGUGUGGUUGGAAAUCAGGACUGUUACUUUGAAAAAAUUAGAGUGUUUAAAGCAGACUAUCGUCUGAAUACAUUAGCAUGGAAUAAUGAAAUAGGACGGACUGAUUCUAUUUCGUUGGUUUCUAGGAUCACCGUAAUGAUUAAUAGGGAUAGUUGGGGGCAUUAGUAUUCAAUUGUCAGAGGUGAAAUUCUUGGAUUUAUUGAAGACUAACUACUGCGAAAGCAUUUGCCAAGGAUGUUUUCAUUAAUCAAGAACGAAAGUUAGGGGAUCGAAGACGAUCAGAUACCGUCGUAGUCUUAACCAUAAACUAUGCCGACUAGGGAUCGGACGAAGUUAAUUUUAUAAUGACGCGUUCGGCACCUUACG
This 502-nucleotide ribosomal RNA is filed under the name uncultured Glomeromycotina. RNAcentral's name for it is "partial small subunit ribosomal RNA". It matches the Rfam family "Eukaryotic small subunit ribosomal RNA", at positions 591 to 1092 of the family's 1831-position model. The record is from RNAcentral. Lineage: Eukaryota; Fungi; Glomeromycota.